This 405-nucleotide ribosomal RNA is filed under the name uncultured Vampirovibrio sp. Its description in RNAcentral is "bacterial SSU rRNA". It matches the Rfam family "Bacterial small subunit ribosomal RNA", at positions 355 to 773 of the family's 1533-position model. The record is from RNAcentral. Lineage: Bacteria; Bacillati; Candidatus Melainabacteria; Vampirovibriophyceae; Vampirovibrionales; Vampirovibrionaceae.
UAGGGAAUUUUUUGCGCAAUGGGGCGAAAGCCUGACGCAGCAACGCCGCGUGAAUGAUGAAGCCCUUCGGGGUGUAAAGUUCUGUCAGUAGGGACGAAACUUGACGGUACCUACAGAGGAAGCACCGGCUAACUCCGUGCCAGCAGCCGCGGUAAUACGGAGGGUGCAAGCGUUGUCCGGAAUCAUUGGGCGUAAAGCGUUCGUAGGCGGUACAUCAAGUCUGGUGUUAAAGACCGGGGCUCAACUCCGGCACGGCAUUGGAUACUGAUGAACUGGAAUGCGGUAGAGGUAAAGGGAAUUCCUGGUGGAGCGGUGAAAUGCUAAGAUAUCAGGAGGAACAUCGGUGGCGAAAGCGCUUUACCGGGCCGUUAUUGACGCUGAGGAACGAAAGCCGGGGGAGCAAAU